CGAUGGUAACACACUGGAGCAGUGAUUGGCUGAUUGGCCCGAUGGUAACACACUGGAGCAGUGAUUGGCCUGAUGGUAACACACUGGAGCAGUGAUUGGCCCGAUGGUAACACACUGGAGCAGUGAUUGGCUGAUUGGCCCGAUGGUAACACACUGGAGCAGUGAGUGGCCCGAUGGUAACACACUGGAGCAGUGAUUGGCCCGAUGGUAACACAUGGAGCCGUGAUUGGCCCGAUGGUAACACACUGGAGCAGUGAGUGGCCCGAUGGUAACACACUGGAGCAGUGAGUGGCCCGAUGGUAACACACUGGAGCAGUGAUUGGCUGAUUGGCCCGAUGGUAACACAUUGGAGCAGUGAGUGGCCCGAUGGUAACACAUUGGAGCAGUGAGUGGCCCGAUGGUAACACACUGGAGCAGUGAGUGGCCCGAUGGUAACACACUGGAGCAGUGAUUGGCCCGAUGGUAUCACACUGGAGCAGUGAUUGGCCCGAUGGUAACACAUUGGCUUAUUCUAUCAGUUAAAGUUGCUUAUGAUUCACCAAUCCUAUAAUAGAUGUAAUUUCAAAUACUCCCCACUGUGUUCCAACAGCAUCAUUGACUCCACCCCCUUUAACCCUUGCCUUUCCUGUACCUCACCUUGCAACCCCCUAUCCAUCUCCCUGCUUGUAUCAGCACUUGUAAACCAGUGUCCCAUGGAAACCCAUUUCUCCUGGCUUCCCUCUCCUUCCUGCUAUAUGAUUGUGACUAACAUGUCGGUCCUCUCACACGACCAAUAAACUAUUAUGUAAUAUGAGGUUUUGAAUUCAAUUAGAUUUCAAUGUUUGAAAAAGAUGGUUCACAGGGCAGUGUUGUCCCCCUGACAGGGCAGAGUGUUGUCCUCCCCCUGACAGGGCAGAGUAGUGUUGUCCCCCUGACAGGGCAGAGUGGUGUCCUCCCCCUGACAGGGCAGAGUGGUGUCCUCCCCUGACAGGGCAGAGUGGUGUCCUCCCCAUGACAGAGCAGAGUGGUGUCCUCCCCCUGACAGGGCAGAGUGUUGUCCCCAUGACACAUGGUUCACAGGGCAGAGUGUUGCCUAAUGAUGGGCUAAUGAUUGGGCUAAUGAUGGGCUAAUGAUUGGGCUAAUGAUGGGCUAAUGAUUGCCUACAGGACUUCCUCUCUGCAAAUCAGAUUAUAUUCUGAGUGAAACUUCUGUUGUUGGAUGACGUAGCAUACACAUGUAUUUUAGUAUGUUUGUUCAUACCAGACGUUUGGCUUCAUUAAAGUGGGAUAAAACUCACUAAACAAAUCACUGGUUCAUAAAUGUAUUUACAUAUCUGAUAUAAAUCAUUUAUAUUUGAUUUGAAAGAUAAAUUAAAAACGUUUUUUUUUUUGCUGGAAUAUAAAAAUGUGCACCUCAUUGUCAUCAUUCAGACAGCAUGUGGCACCAACAGGUGAUAAUGCAGGUAAAAGCACCCCAUUUAGUGUUUAAUUAACUGUCAGCAUCUAGUAAAACAGCCCCCCAUUCACCCAUCAACAAUGACUUAACAGUUUCACCCUAUUCAUGUUGUACAUGCACUGCUAAUGAGUAGACAUGUCAUUACAACCAAUUAGGACAUGUGUUUACUUAUUAAAUGCCUGUUUGACAGUAAGUAAUUGUUAGUAACGUCUGAGUGCAUUACCCAUCUACUUCCAUUGUGCUUUCUAAUUGGACUUCAUGGCCGAAAACACGCCCAUCCCAUUCAGCUUGGAACGGGGGGGAUCACACAGUCUGGGUGGACUUGUCG
Long non-coding RNA from Oncorhynchus tshawytscha (Chinook salmon), 1763 nucleotides. NCBI's taxonomy places the organism in Eukaryota, Metazoa, Chordata, Actinopteri, Salmoniformes, Salmonidae. The record is from Ensembl.